UACGUAGGGUGCAAGCGUUAAUCGGAAUUACUGGGCGUAAAGCGCACGUAGGCGGCUUUGUAAGUUAGAGGUGAAAGCCCGGAGCUCAACUCCGGAACUGCCUUUAAGACUGCAUCGCUUGAAUCCAGGAGAGGUGAGUGGAAUUCCGAGUGUAGAGGUGAAAUUCGUAGAUAUUCGGAAGAACACCAGUGGCGAAGGCGGCUCACUGGACUGGUAUUGACGCUGAGGUGCGAAAGCGUGGGGAGCAAACAGG
This 253-nucleotide ribosomal RNA is filed under the name uncultured bacterium. RNAcentral describes it as "partial 16S ribosomal RNA". It matches the Rfam family "Bacterial small subunit ribosomal RNA", at positions 524 to 776 of the family's 1533-position model. The record is from RNAcentral.